UUAAAAAGCUCGUAGUUGGAUUUCGGGUGUGGGGCGCCGGUCCGCUUCGGUGUGCACUGGCGGCCCAGGCCUUCUUGUCGGGGAUGCGCUCUGGUAUUGAUUUAUCGGACGCAGAGUCGGCGCAGUUACUUUGAAAAAAUUAGAGUGUUCAAAGCAGGCUUUCGCUUGAAUACAUUAGCAUGGAAUAACAUGAUAGGACUCCGAUCCCAUUGUGUUGGUCUUCGGGACUGGAGUAAUGAUUAAGAGGGACAGUUGGGGGCAUUCGUAUUUCAUUGUCAGAGGUGAAAUUCUUGGAUUUAUGAAAGACGAACUUCUGCGAAAGCAUUUGCCAAGGAUGUUUUCAUUAAAUCAAGAACGAAAGUUGGGGGCUCGAAGAUGAUUAGAUACCCAUCGUA
Molecule: ribosomal RNA, 395 nt
Filed under: uncultured marine eukaryote
Lineage: Eukaryota
Description: SSU rRNA
Rfam family: Eukaryotic small subunit ribosomal RNA
Source: RNAcentral